CCUACGGGAGGCAGCAGUAGGGAAUCUUCCGCAAUGGACGAAAGUCUGACGGAGCAACGCCGCGUGAACGAUGAAGGCCUUCGGGUCGUAAAGUUCUGUUGUUAGGGAAGAACAAGUGCUAGUUGAAUAAGCUGGCACCUUGACGGUACCUAACCAGAAAGCCACGGCUAACUACGUGCCAGCAGCCGCGGUAAUACGUAGGUGGCAAGCGUUGUCCGGAAUUAUUGGGCGUAAAGCGCGCGCAGGCGGUUUCUUAAGUCUGAUGUGAAAGCCCCCGGCUCAACCGGGGAGGGUCAUUGGAAACUGGGAAACUUGAGUGCAGAAGAGGAAAGUGGAAUUCCAAGUGUAGCGGUGAAAUGCGUAGAGAUUUGGAGGAACACCAGUGGCGAAAGGCGACUUUCUGGUCUGUAACUGACGCUGAGGCGCGAAAGCGUGGGGAGCAAACAGGAUUAGAUACCCUGGUAGUCCACGCUGUAAACGAUGAGUGCUAAGUGUUAGAGGGUUUCCGCCCUUUAGUGCUGAAGUUAACGCAUUAAGCACUCCGCCUGGGGAUACGGUCGCAAGACUGAAACUCAAAAGNUAGUCGACGNGNGAGAGCGACGACGACGACGAGGAGGAGAG
This 621-nucleotide ribosomal RNA is filed under the name uncultured bacterium. Its description in RNAcentral is "bacterial SSU rRNA". It matches the Rfam family "Bacterial small subunit ribosomal RNA", at positions 338 to 945 of the family's 1533-position model. The record is from RNAcentral.